AACAUCCUGCGACGUUGGUAAGCGCAUGUGAUACGUUUUGUUCCAACACAUUUAUAAUCGGGAGCUGACUCUUCACUCGCGGCAUUGCAUCUUUAUUUUAUAUUGAUACAGAAAGCGCGUGAGAAGCACCCACCUGCUCAGGCAGGUUCAAAACCUCACUCCUUACGGCGGGGCGGGAGAUGU
RNAcentral lists this non-coding RNA (183 nucleotides) under Peptococcaceae bacterium. RNAcentral describes it as "6S RNA". It matches the Rfam family "6S / SsrS RNA". Rfam says of the family: E. coli 6S RNA was the first non coding RNA to be sequenced, but its function was unknown until recently. It consists of 184 nucleotides that fold into an extended hairpin structure with a large single-stranded internal bulge. The record is from RNAcentral. Lineage: Bacteria; Bacillati; Bacillota; Clostridia; Eubacteriales; Peptococcaceae.